AAUGGCGGCAACGCUGAUCCAGCUAUCCCGCGUGCAGGAUGAAGGGGCUACGCCUUGUAAACUGCUUUAGACUGAGACGAAAAAAUGGGAUUUAUCCUAUAUUGACGGUAUCAGUAGAAUAAGCACCGGCUAACUCCGUGCCAGCAGCCGCGGUAAUACGGAGGGUGCAAGCGUUAUCCGGAAUCACUGGGUAUAAAGGGUGCGUAGGCGGCUUGUUAAGUCAGGAGUGAAAGGCCACAGCUUAACUGUGGGAUUGCUUUUGAUACUGGCGAGCUUGGAUUAGGACGAGGUUGGCGGAAUGUGGCAAGUAGCGGUGAAAUGCAUAGAUAUGCCAUAGAAUACCGAUUGCGAAGGCAGCUGACUAGACCUAUAUUGACGCUGAGGCACGAAAGCGUGGGGAGCGAA
RNAcentral lists this ribosomal RNA (405 nucleotides) under uncultured bacterium. RNAcentral describes it as "bacterial SSU rRNA". It matches the Rfam family "Bacterial small subunit ribosomal RNA", at positions 370 to 772 of the family's 1533-position model. The record is from RNAcentral.